CUCCUACGGGAGGCAGCAGUGGGGAAUAUUUGGACAAUGGGCGCAAGCCUGAUCCAGCCAUGCCGCGUGAGUGAAGAAGGCCCUAGGGUUGUAAAGCUCUUUCGCCAGGGAUGAUAAUGACAGUACCUGGUAAAGAAACCCCGGCUAACUCCGUGCCAGCAGCCGCGGUAAU
Molecule: ribosomal RNA, 172 nt
Filed under: uncultured bacterium
Lineage: Bacteria
Description: partial 16S ribosomal RNA
Rfam family: Bacterial small subunit ribosomal RNA
Source: RNAcentral